RNAcentral lists this ribosomal RNA (458 nucleotides) under uncultured bacterium. RNAcentral's name for it is "bacterial SSU rRNA". It matches the Rfam family "Bacterial small subunit ribosomal RNA", at positions 1 to 507 of the family's 1533-position model. The record is from RNAcentral.
AUAUCGACGAGUUUGAUCCUGGCUCAGAACGAACGCUGGCGGCAGGCUUAACACAUGCAAGUCGAACGCCACGCAAGGGGAGUGGCAGACGGGUGAGUAACACGUGGGAACAUGCCCAAAGGUACGGAAUAUUCUCGGGAAACUGGGAGCAAUACCGUAUGUGCCCGAAAGGGGAAAGAUUUAUCGCCUUUGGAUUGGCCCGCGUUGGAUUAGCUAGUUGGUGGGGUAAAAGCCUACCAAGGCGACGAUCCAUAGCUGGUCUGAGAGGACGACCAGCCACACUGGGACUGAGACACGGCCCAGACUCCUACGGGAGGCAGCAGUGGGGAAUCUUGGACAAUGGGCGCAAGCCUGAUCCAGCCAUGCCGCGUGAGUGAUGAAGGCCCUAGGGUUGUAAAACUCUUUCGUGGGGGACGAUAAUGACGGUACCCCAAGAAGAAGCUCCGGCUAACUUCGUG